This 593-nucleotide ribosomal RNA is filed under the name Bacillus sp. CH181_5D. RNAcentral describes it as "bacterial SSU rRNA". It matches the Rfam family "Bacterial small subunit ribosomal RNA", at positions 56 to 632 of the family's 1533-position model. The record is from RNAcentral. Lineage: Bacteria; Bacillati; Bacillota; Bacilli; Caryophanales; Bacillaceae.
UGCAAGUCGAGCGGACGGAUGGGAGCUUGCUCCCUGAAGUCAGCGGCGGACGGGUGAGUAACACGUGGGCAACCUGCCUGUAAGACUGGGAUAACUUCGGGAAACCGGAGCUAAUACCGGAUAAUGCACAGCCUCUCAUGAGGCUAUGCUGAAAGAUGGUUUCGGCUAUCACUUACAGAUGGGCCCGCGGCGCAUUAGCUAGUUGGUGAGGUAACGGCUCACCAAGGCAACGAUGCGUAGCCGACCUGAGAGGGUGAUCGGCCACACUGGGACUGAGACACGGCCCAGACUCCUACGGGAGGCAGCAGUAGGGAAUCUUCCGCAAUGGACGAAAGUCUGACGGAGCAACGCCGCGUGAGUGAUGAAGGUUUUCGGAUCGUAAAACUCUGUUGUCAGGGAAGAACAAGUGCCGGAGUAACUGCCGGCACCUUGACGGUACCUGACCAGAAAGCCACGGCUAACUACGUGCCAGCAGCCGCGGUAAUACGUAGGUGGCAAGCGUUGUCCGGAAUUAUUGGGCGUAAAGCGCGCGCAGGCGGUCUCUUAAGUCUGAUGUGAAAGCCCACGGCUCAACCGUGGAGGGUCAUUGGAAA